CGUAGGGUGCAAGCGUUAAUCGGAAUUACUGGGCGUAAAGCGUGCGCAGGCGGUUUUGUAAGUCUGUCGUGAAAUCCCCGGGCUCAACCUGGGAAUUGCGAUGGAGACUGCAAGGCUAGAAUCUGGCAGAGGGGGUAGAAUUCCACGUGUAGCAGUGAAAUGCGUAGAGAUGUGGAGGAACACCGAUGGCGAAGGCAGCCCCCUGGGUCAAGAUUGACGCUCAUGCACGAAAGCGUGGGGAGCAAACAGGAUUAGAUACCCUGGUAGUCCACGCCCUAAACGAUGUCUACUAGUUGUCGGGUUUUAAUUAACUUGGUAACGCAGCUAACGCGUGAAGUAGACCGCCUGGGGAGUACGGACGCAAGAUUA
This 369-nucleotide ribosomal RNA is filed under the name uncultured organism. RNAcentral describes it as "bacterial SSU rRNA". It matches the Rfam family "Bacterial small subunit ribosomal RNA", at positions 526 to 896 of the family's 1533-position model. The record is from RNAcentral.